GCCAUUUUCAGGUUGGGUACCGAUUAUCAAUUUUGGAAUUAGGACUCGUCUCGUAGGAUCUAACCGUUAGGCUACAGGUAGUCUUCACAUCCCGCUAGCUAGUUUAUACAUUGAAUGAGAUAGAUGUAAUAGAAACGCAUAGAUGACAUGACAUAAGGAAAGCGUUGAAAGAUAGAGCUCGAAAUUAGGUGCUCUAGUCAACAAUACGGCGAGACGGAGCGCUAUGCAAGUGAAGUCAACCACCAGUGGCAAAGAGUCUAAAUUGAUAUUGGAGGAUGCAGUAUGCCUCUGGAACAGGCUUGUCUAAGUGGGCGAGAGCCACGUGCAUCCAGUAAGAAUUCCGAAGACAGGAGCAACACUGCCACCCUGCUGGCCUCAAGGAGUACUGCAGACACAGAGUCCAACAGAAGAGGCUCUCGCUGCGGCUCUGAAAAAGAUUCUGGAUAUUCGGACAACAACAGCUGCACAGACUGGCUCCAUGUGGAUAGAGAGAACCAGGGCAGCAGCGUGAGUGAGCCCAGGGAAGGGGAGGGUCUUCAGAGCCAGGUCAAGCCCGAGCAGGCCCCUCUCCAGGGGAAUCACAUCCUGGUCCCCAGCCCCGGAAGCCCUGACCUCACCCCCAUCUUCAUCAUCAAGAACGUGGUGCUCAAACAGGUGAAAGAGGUGGGAGGCAGGCUUGAGAAUGGCUCAGACCAUCACCUCCAGAACCAGCUAAACUGGGAGAACAGAGGAGGAAGCUCCAAUGACUCUGGCCCCUGUCAUGUGAUCCUGGUUCAGCAGCCCAGUGAAGCCUCGGCCUCACCCGCAUCCCCAAAGCCCAACAGAACACAGUCCUGGAGAUCUGACAGCACAGCUAUGAAAACAAAAAGCAGAACCUACCUGCCCAUUCUUAAGUCCUACCCUCGUAUCGCUCCCCAUCCCAGUAAGAAGCCAUCUGACAAGACCCCAGUGGACCCCCAUGGUAAGGGGACUGGCAGGGAGGACCAAAGCCAGGACAAGAGGAUGUGUACAGAGGACAAGAGGGAUGAGGUGUCCACUACUACUCACUUACUGACACCAUCCAGAAAACAUGUCCGCAAGCAGCCAGACCCCAAGAGAAGCCUGUCCCACUGGAGGAGCCCUGCCUCCUCCUCCCACUCCCCCAGCCCCCUCUCUCCCUCCACACUUUCCAGCUUUGUCUCCCGCUCUAUGUCCAGCUCCGACACCACCACUGCCUCCUCCUACUCCUCUUCCGGUGGCUCCUCUCCCCUCUCGGCCAGGAGGUCGCCCCGCAGGCAUGGUCCAGGCCUGUCCCUGUUCAGUGCGGCGCGUGACAGGCGCUUCCUGAACACGGUGGGCAUCCUAAGCCAGUCAGGCCUGCUUGACAUCACGCUGCGCACCCAGGACCUCCUCCGCCAGAGCAACGCCACAGACCGAGACAUCGCCCAGCUCCGCCAGCACACACAGCUGCUGUACCAGGCUGCCAACCACCACAACAACAACCCCUAUAACAGUGACCCUGAUAAUAACGACCCCAAUGCCAACACAGCCAACGCGGGCUGGGAGAGGAUACACCAGGCUAUGGCUCAGUCAGGCUGCUACCCCAGCCUCAAGAACCUGGGGAGUGAAGAGGAUCACAACACUUAUAGUCCAGAGCCAGGAGUGGGAGGGGACGCCAGUUUCAAGAGAGAUUCAGUUGACCCUAAUAUUGCCACUCAUACCCACAAUGGGGUGGAGGCCCCGGCCCAACCCUCGCCCCUCCUGGCCCCCAUGUCAGAUCUGCUCCCACAGUACUGCCCUGUUUCCCUGUCACAGCAUUCUCCAGUCAGCGUCACCACGUCCCGCUCUCACUCUGGGCAGGCCAGUGCCAAACCCCCUGAGACAGUCACCACCAUGCCCCCUGACAGUUCCACCCAUGGUGGUCUUCUCUAGCACCUGCCCAAGGAAAGACAGGGCACCUGGCCAGUUUGUAACCCUCUAACAGUCACUUCACUUCAGCUCCAACGAACCCAAAGUAUGUAGUCUGUAUAGUAACAUGUUUCUGACGGUUACCCCGACAGAGACAUUAAUAGCCUCCCAAAAAAAGACUAUGUUUUGGCCUCUUCAAAGACUGCUUGAGGAAAUUCCUAGAGAGGCUGAGGGGAAGAGGUUGAAGGUUUAAUGACGCGUGAGACAAUGUCGACAGGACAGCACUAUGCUACACUGUAUAUUUCUGCACAGCGUCUAAAUACUACUCAUUGCCUGCCAUAAAAACUCAGUUUCAGCUUACCAAUUAGUGAGCUGAAUAUCAAGACUUGUUGCAUUUUGAUAAACUUCACUACGUAUAGAGAAAUUAUACUGACAAUGUACAUUAUUUUUGUAUUUGCCAAAUAUAAAAUAGACUGACCAGGUAAAUUCAGGUGAAAGUUAUGAUCCCUUAUUUAUGUAAUCUGUUAAAUACACCUCAAUCAGUUAGUGUAGAUGAAGGGGAGAACACAGGUUAAAGAAGGAUUUUUAAGUGCCUUUGAACAACAGGCUAUGGUAGUAGGUGCCAGGCGCACUGGUUUGAGUGUGUCAAGAACUGCAACGCUGCUGGGUUUUUCACGCUCAACAGUUUCCUAUAUGUAUCAAGAAUGGUUCACCACCCAAAGGACAUCCAGCCAACUUGACACAACUGUGUGAUACAUUGGAGUCAACAUGGGCCAGCAUCCCUGUGGAACGCUUUCCACACGUUGUAGAGUCCAUGUCUUGAUGAAUUGAGGCUGUUCUGAAGGCACAAGGGGGUGGAACUCAAUAUUCCUAAUGUGUUGUACACUCUGUGUAUAAACGUAUCGUAUGGUUAAAGAUGUCAUUGAAACAUAAAAGGCUAUUUCAUUCAGGAUCUUGAAGAUCCUACCAGGGAAUUAUGUAUUAACAGUGGUCUUUGAUUGUUUUAGUAUUGACAAAACCAGGUGUGUGUGUGUUUGCUUCUUGAGUCUCAUCUAAGGGAAUGCCAAUACACACAUUUCUAUGUGACAUAAAGACAGUUUAUUUUUUUAUCUACUUUAAUUUGUGUUUUUAGAUAAGCAUUAUAUUGUGGGGAAUUCAUCAAUGUUUCUGAUGUCUAAUAAGGAUUAUAAAAUGUAAUUGAGGUAAAGCACUAAUUUACGUAACAAAAAUGCUAUUAGUUAAAGUUGCUUUUAUAUUGGCCAAAAAUGGUCUUUCAUAAUAAGAAAGUGACAGAAUGAGAUGAUAAGAUGACCUUUUAAUAGUGACUACAACUGCUACCAUGUAAACUGGAGUGACUUCAGAAAGGUACAUCAUGAGCUGCCAGUAACCCAUGUUAAGCCUUGAGUGGGGACAGUUGAAAGAACAUUGUGUUUUGUUUAGUACAAUGACCAUCUGCAGUGUCUCUAGGUUGCUCGUUCUGUGCUUGGACUAUGUUCUUUCAAAUGUAUUGUGGUGACGCACUGUUCAAAUAUGGAACAUGAUGACACUGUAUUGAAACAUGCACCAUUGUUCAUUAUCAAUGGUAUUCUAUCAACAUGUUGGUAAGGAUACAAGAGUGCAGCUAGAUGUUGUGUUAAGAUACAUGAUCAGUAUACAAAGAACUUUGACGCAGAAGCUUUUCUAGGUGUGUGUCAGUUCAUUUGUCCGUGGGUUCCCCUGCUGCGGUCAUGAGUACCUCCAUCUCUGCUCCAGAGGUCAUGUGCUCCGGCUUAGUCUUUCUCUUCCGGGUCAACGGGAGGUCAUGGUCCGGCCGACACAGGUGGAGGAAACGCUGAUCUGCAGCAGGGCCCACCCGGGGACCAGGACGAUGGAGGAGAGGGCCAACAGCCAGCCCAGAACAUGCACCCAUCCUGGGUACACAUACCAGCAGUUGAAGGUCAGGGGCUGGUACUCCACCAGAGAGCAGAUGAGUUCCCAAGACACGAUCCAGCUUCUGGAGGGCCAGAAUCUUAACAGUAAUUGGCUGUCUAUUGUUUCUGACUGUUGUUCUGUUGUGGAAGAGAGGAGCCGCAGUCAGAGAGACCUCCACUCUGACUCCCAAGUCUGACCACGGCAUGAUCCAGUCCUCAUAGCAGGUACUGUCUCAACGUCAACAGUGAAGAGGCAACUCCGGGAUGUUGAAAAGAAAAAGCCAUAUCUCAGACUGGCCAAUAAAAAGAAAAUAUUAAGAUGGGCAAAAGACAGACACUGGACAAUGGAACUCGCUGUUGAUGUUGAGACUGGUGUUUUGCGUGUACUAUUUAAUGAAGCUGCCAGUUGAGAACUUGUGAGGUAUCUGUUUCUCAAACUAGACACUCUAAUGUACUUGUCCUCUUGCUCAGUUGUGCACCGGGGCCUCCCACUCCUCUUUCUUUUCUGGUUAGAGCCAGUUUGCGCUGUUCUGUGAAGAGAGUAGUACACAACGUUGUACAAAGAAGGCCAGUUUUAUUGCUUCUUUCAUCAGAACGACAGUUUUCAGCUGUGCUAACAUAAUUGCAAAAGGGUUUUCUAAUGAUCAAUUAGCCUUUUUAAGCGAUAAACUUGGAUUAGCUAACACAACGUGCCAUUGGAACACAGGAGUGAUGUUUGCUGAUAACGGGUCUCUGUACGCCUAUGUAGAUAUUCCAUAAAAUAUCUCCCAUUUCCAGCUACAAUAGUCAUUUACAACAUUAACAAUGUCUACAUUGUAUUUCUGAUCAAUUUGAUGUCAUUUUAUUGGACACAAAAUGUGUUUUUCUUUCAAAAACAAGGACAUUUCUAAGUGAUAAAGAUCUCAUUCCAUAGCAUGAUUAGUGUCUGUGUGUCUGACUGGAAGGUACCAGGGAGAGAAUGGCUCGGGGCCAGACCCUGGUCUCUACACAAUGAGGACAGUAUUUACAGCUGAUACUGUUUGCUAUGAAUUAUUUGUAACCUUGUGACCCAUUCCCUACAUCUGUUGUUUGGCAUGAACAUCCAGGAGGAUGGACUUUGCUAUAAAAUUCUGUGGCUCAAAUCCGCUCGUUGAGUUCUCAGUGAUCACCUCCAGGUGUGAUUACCGACCAGCUCCAUUACUGCAGUAAUUAAAUA
Molecule: RNA transcript, 4992 nt
Organism: Salvelinus fontinalis (brook trout)
Lineage: Eukaryota; Metazoa; Chordata; Actinopteri; Salmoniformes; Salmonidae
Exons: 6
Source: RefSeq, a predicted model, not a curated record